AUUGACCCGKCUGGAAGCUYCCGGGAAACCAAAGUUUUUGGGUUCCSGGGGAAGUAUGGUUGCAAAGCUGAAACUUAAAGGAAUUGACGGAAGGGCACCACCCAGGAGUGGGACUSCGGCUUAAUUUGACUCAACACGGGAAAACUCACCCGGCCCGGACACUGAAAGGAUAGACAGAUUAAGAGCUCUUUCUUGAUUUCAGUGGGUGGUGGUGCAUGGUCGUUCUUAGUUGGUGGAGUAGUUUGUCUGGUUAAUUCCGAUAACGAACGAGAUUUUAACCUAUUAAAUAGAAUUUAAUCUCUUAAUUSCGAUWAAAUWWCUUCUWAGAGGAACAGGCGMCGUCCCCCCCGKWAWUUCAAAGAGCAAUAACAGGUCUGUGAUGCCCUUAGAUGUCCGGGGCUGCACGCKCGCUACAAUGAAGGCGACAGCAUGCAACACAAACCCUCUCUGAGAAGAGCGGGUAACCAUAUGAAAAUUCUUCGUAAUAGGGACCGGGCAUUGUAAUUAUUGCCCAUGAACGAGGAAUUCCCAGUAAGCGUGAGUMAAAAACUUGCGUUGAUUACGUCCCUGCUCUU
This 575-nucleotide ribosomal RNA is filed under the name uncultured eukaryote. RNAcentral describes it as "partial 18S ribosomal RNA". It matches the Rfam family "Eukaryotic small subunit ribosomal RNA", at positions 1081 to 1680 of the family's 1831-position model. The record is from RNAcentral.